Molecule: ribosomal RNA, 478 nt
Filed under: uncultured bacterium
Lineage: Bacteria
Description: partial 16S ribosomal RNA
Rfam family: Bacterial small subunit ribosomal RNA
Source: RNAcentral
GAUGAACGCUGGCGGCGUGCUUAACACAUGCAAGUCGAACGAGAAGUGAAGACGGAAACCUUCGGGCGGAAGGCUUUAUUUCGAGUGGCGGACGGGUGAGUAACGCGUGGGUAACCUGCCUCAUACAGGGGGAUAACAGUUGGAAACGACUGUUAAUACCGCAUAAGACCACAGCACCGCAUGGUGCGGGGGUAAAAACUCCGGUGGUAUGAGAUGGACCCGCGUUCGAUUAGCCAGUUGGCGGGGUAACGGCCCACCAAAGCGACGAUCGAUAGCCGAUCUGAGAGGAUGACCGGCCACAUUGGGACUGAGACACGGCCCAAACUCCUACGGGGAGCAGCAGUGGGGAAUAUUGCACAAUGGGGGAAACCCUGAUGCAGCGACGCCGCGUGAGUGAAGAAGUAUUUCGGUAUGUAAAGCUCUAUCAGCAGGGAAGAAAAUGACGGUACCUGAGUAAGAAGCCCCGGCUAACUACGUG